Canis lupus familiaris (dog) is the source of this 1066-nucleotide long non-coding RNA. RefSeq lists it as uncharacterized. NCBI's taxonomy places the organism in Eukaryota, Metazoa, Chordata, Mammalia, Carnivora, Canidae. The record is from RefSeq and is a predicted model, not a curated record. The transcript is spliced from 3 exons.
GGCUGGGGCUUCGGGGAAGCAGGAAGGACCCAGAGCCCGGGUCGGGUGCUCCUCAGAGAGACGCGGAGGAAAGGGGUGAGCAUGCAGCCUGUCUCCAGAUGCUCGUAAACAGCCGUGCCUACAGGGUGGCCACAGAGACCUUCUCGAAAACGUUGCCAAUGGCGCAGUGAUUGGCCUCUAUCUGCAAGGACCUCGAUGUCCUAUUUGGGAAAAUUGUUUAGUCAUGAGUGCAAUCUGUGUGAGAUGCAACAGCAAGCGAGGGUUGCGAGAAAUGAUCUGACUUGCAUUACAACUCCUAGGCCGGGAAGGCUCUGUUGGGUGACCGCUCCCUGUAUUUUUCCAUCAGCGGCAAAGUCGUUAGUGGCAUAAAGUGUCACUAACACGUGAAAGGAUGACCAGAGGAGAGAGACUCAUUCCACUUGACCAACCCAAACACCUGUGGAUCGGGUUAGGUGCUUCUUAUCCCUUGGUUCUGCAAGUAGGUUCUAGAAUCUCUCAAAGCAGAAUCGGGAGCAUCGCAGGGCUCCAGAAAAAUCUGCUGGCCCUACAGCGACCACAGAAAAUCCGUGACCUUCAGCGCAAGGGGCCUCCCAGCCCGUCUCCACCUCUUCUCCUUGGAACGCUCUCCAACACCCCCCGCGCAAGUCUAUGAAGACCAAGGAGAUCGCACGCCUACAAGAUGCAGACGCUUCUUGCUCUGGUCCCUGCUCUAGAAGAGAAGCCACAGACGUGAGUCACACACCCAGAGCCCUGUGUGUCUGCAGGGACCAGCUGGGCCAUCUGGUCUACCGGCCCCACAGCGCUGCGGUCACCCCCACCGCCGCUGUGCCAGCCCGCCCCGGCCAGCGCCACGGGCCCCUGGUGGGUUGAUGAGCCCACCUGCUUGUCUCCAGUGGCCACUGAGCCACCACCUCCAGCUGUGAGCCCCACGAGGACAGAGCCUCACUUACCCACUGUACCUUCCAAGACUACAACAUCUUUGGGCGUGUGGUAGGAAUUCAAUAACUACUUUGGGAUGAGCACAUGCAUAUUUACAGUGAUUACACUGGGGCAGGGGGACAAAGAA